UAAAAUAAAUGACAAAUUUAUUGAAAAAUAAGGACGCAAUACUGAGGGUCUAAGCCUAAGGGUAUGACAGCCGGUUGCAUAU
Molecule: non-coding RNA, 82 nt
Organism: Clostridiales bacterium Nov_37_41
Lineage: Bacteria; Bacillati; Bacillota; Clostridia; Eubacteriales
Source: Rfam